This 374-nucleotide unclassified non-coding RNA is filed under the name uncultured Nakamurellaceae bacterium. RNAcentral describes it as "contains 16S-23S intergenic spacer region". The record is from RNAcentral. Lineage: Bacteria; Bacillati; Actinomycetota; Actinomycetes; Nakamurellales; Nakamurellaceae.
UCCGGUUUGUCACCGGCAGUCUCGCAUGAGUCCCCAACUAAAUGCUGGCAACAUGCGACGGGGGUUGCGCUCGUUGCGGGACUUAACCCAACAUCUCACGACACGAGCUGACGACAACCAUGCACCACCUGUACACCGACCUUGCGGGGCAACCAUUUCUGGAAGUUUCCGGUGUAUGUCAAGCCUUGGUAAGGUUCUUCGCGUUGCAUCGAAUUAAUCAGCAUGCUCCGCCGCUUGUGCGGGCCCCCGUCAAUUCCUUUGAGUUUUAGCCUUGCGGCCGUACUCCCCAGGCGGGGCGCUUGAUGCGUUAGCUGCGGCACAGAGAACGUGGAAGUCCCCCACACCUAGCGCCCACCGUUUACGGCGUGGACUAC